This 420-nucleotide non-coding RNA is filed under the name Pan troglodytes (chimpanzee). Lineage: Eukaryota; Metazoa; Chordata; Mammalia; Primates; Hominidae. The record is from RNAcentral.
AGCGCAGCCAAGCAACAACAACAACAAAAAAAGGCGAGGAGGUAGACCCACUUGAGAUGGUUCUGUUGCGGAGAGUCUCUGAAAUCAGAAAGCGCCAGUCCGCAAAAACGAGGAAACCCGACGUGUCCGGCGGAAGGAACUGCCAGUACAAAGGCCCUGAGGCGAGAAAGAGAUUGGUCACUGAAAGAACUCAAAGAAGUCCUGUGUGGCUGGAGCGUAGCUGCGGGUAGUGCUGGCAGGUGAAGACAGAAGCAAACAGGGCCCAGGUCAGGUCCGGUUGGGCCUCGGGAGGGCCUCCGUGUGGAGUCUGCACUUCAUUCUAAGUGUAUACCUAACCCAUCGCCACGAUUUCCCCUCCUUCACACUACCCUGCUACGUCUCCUUAUUAGGCGUAAUAAAAUUAUGUGGCUUUGUAAGAAA